UGUCUCAAAGAUUAAGCCAUGCAUGUCUAAGUAUAAGCAAUCUAUACUGUGAAACUGCGAAUGGCUCAUUAAAUCAGUUAUCGUUUAUUUGAUAGUACCUUACUACUUGGAUAACCGUGGUAAUUCUAGAGCUAAUACAUGCUAAAAACCUCGACUUCGGAAGGGGUGUAUUUAUUAGAUAAAAAACCAAUGCCCUUCGGGGCUCCUUGGUGAUUCAUAAUAACUUAACGAAUCGCAUGGCCUUGUGCCGGCGAUGGUUCAUUCAAAUUUCUGCCCUAUCAACUUUCGAUGGUAGGAUAGUGGCCUACCAUGGUUUCAACGGGUAACGGGGAAUGA
Molecule: ribosomal RNA, 336 nt
Filed under: Leptodontidium irregulare
Lineage: Eukaryota; Fungi; Ascomycota; Leotiomycetes; Helotiales; Leptodontidiaceae
Description: SSU rRNA
Rfam family: Eukaryotic small subunit ribosomal RNA
Source: RNAcentral